This 428-nucleotide ribosomal RNA is filed under the name uncultured bacterium. Its description in RNAcentral is "partial 16S ribosomal RNA". It matches the Rfam family "Bacterial small subunit ribosomal RNA", at positions 354 to 796 of the family's 1533-position model. The record is from RNAcentral.
GUGGGGAAUAUUGGGCAAUGGGCGGAAGCCUGACCCAGCGACGCCGCGUGGGGGAAGAAGUCUUUCGGGAUGUAAACCCUUGUUGUACGGGACGAAGGAAGUGACGGUACCGUACGAGGAAGCCCCGGCAAACUACGUGCCAGCAGCCGCGGUAAUACGUAGGGGGCGAGCGUUGUCCGGAAUCACUGGGCGUAAAGCGCACGUAGGCGGGCUGUCAAGUCGGCCGUGAAAGGCACGGGCUCAACCUGUGCAUGUCGGUCGAUACUGGCGGUCUGGAGUAUGGGAGAGGGAACUGGAAUUCCCGGUGUAGCGGUGAAAUGCGUAGAUAUUGGGAGGAACACCAGUGGCGAAGGCGCCUUUCUGGACUGUGUCUGACGCUGAGAUGCGAAAGCCAGGGUAGCGAACGGGAUUAGAAACCCUAGUAGUCC